This 377-nucleotide ribosomal RNA is filed under the name uncultured bacterium. RNAcentral's name for it is "bacterial SSU rRNA". It matches the Rfam family "Bacterial small subunit ribosomal RNA", at positions 523 to 898 of the family's 1533-position model. The record is from RNAcentral.
AUACGUAGGUGGCGAGCGUUGUCCGGAAUUACUGGGUGUAAAGGGCGUGUAGGCGGGGAUAUAAGUCGGAUGUGAAAUACCGAGGCUUAACUUCGGGGGUGCAUCUGAAACUAUAUUUCUUGAGUACUGGAGAGGGAAGCGGAAUUCCUAGUGUAGCGGUGAAAUGCGUAGAUAUUAGGAGGAACACCAGUGGCGAAGGCGGCUUCCUGGACAGUAACUGACGCUGAGGCGCGAAAGCGUGGGUAGCGAACAGGAUUAGAUACCCUGGUAGUCCACGCCGUAAACGAUGGAUACUAGGUGUAGGAGGUAUCGACCCCUUCUGUGCCGGAGUUAACACAAUAAGUAUCCCACCUGGGGAGUACGGCCGCAAGGUUGAA